Molecule: small nuclear RNA, 175 nt
Filed under: Suricata suricatta (meerkat)
Lineage: Eukaryota; Metazoa; Chordata; Mammalia; Carnivora; Herpestidae
Description: U2 spliceosomal RNA (ENSSSUG00005004158.1)
Rfam family: U2 spliceosomal RNA
About the family: U2 is a small nuclear RNA (snRNA) component of the spliceosome (involved in pre-mRNA splicing).
Source: Rfam by way of RNAcentral
AUCGCUUCUGGGCCUUUUGGCUAGGAUCAAGUUUAGUAUCUGUUCUUAUCAGUUUAAACCAUUCUCUGCAAAGAGAAGUGCUUGGAUUUUGUGAUCGAUCAUAGGACAUGUCCUGGAGGUCUCACUGGUCAUAAAGAAAAUCAGAAUAAUGCUGUUUCUAAGUGUCCAUCAUGCA